GACGAACGCUGGCGGCGCGCCUAACACAUGCAAGUCGAGCGAUGAAAUUUUAACCGAUCUCUUCGGAGAGAAGAUAAAAUGGAUUAGCGGCGGACGGGUGAGUAACACGUGAGAAACCUGCCUUUCACAAGGGGAUAGCCUCGGGAAACCGGGAUUAAUACCCUAUGACACAUUUCCUUCGCAUGGAAGAAAUGUUAAAACUCCGGUGGUGAAAGAUGGUCUCGCGCCUGAUUAGCUAGUUGGUGGGGUAACGGCCCACCAAGGCCAUGAUCAGUAACCGGCAUGAGAGGGGGAACGGUCACAUUGGAACUGAGACACGGUCCAAACUCCUACGGGAGGCAGCAGUGGGGAAUAUUGCACAAUGGAGGAAACUCUGAUGCAGCGACGCCGCGUGAGCGAUGAAGGCUUUCGAGUCGUAAAGCUCUGUCCUAUGGGAAGAUAAUGACGGUACCAUAGGAGGAAGCCCCGGCUAACUACGUG
Molecule: ribosomal RNA, 480 nt
Filed under: uncultured bacterium
Lineage: Bacteria
Description: partial 16S ribosomal RNA
Rfam family: Bacterial small subunit ribosomal RNA
Source: RNAcentral